AGGCCAUGGAAGCAUUUUAUUUGAAGAGGAGGAGGUAACUUCCUUUCUGGCAUCCAGGUUGAAUGUAACCUGAAGAGUCUUCUAAAUAAUGGUCGAGGGCGACAAAUGGUGCUGAGACCCGGGAAAUAUUAAGAAAAAUAGAAAAACCUUGCAAGGGAGAAGUCCGC
Molecule: long non-coding RNA, 167 nt
Filed under: Mustela putorius furo (domestic ferret)
Lineage: Eukaryota; Metazoa; Chordata; Mammalia; Carnivora; Mustelidae
Description: lncRNA (ENSMPUG00000026641.1)
Source: RNAcentral